UACGUAGGGGGCAAGCGUUGUCCGGAUUUACUGGGUGUAAAGGGCGUGUAGCCGGGCUGACAAGUCAGAUGUGAAAUCCGGGGGCUCAACCCCCGAACUGCAUUUGAAACUGUUGGUCUUGAGUAUCGGAGAGGCAGGCGGAAUUCCUAGUGUAGCGGUGAAAUGCGUAGAUAUUAGGAGGAACACCAGUGGCGAAGGCGGCCUGCUGGACGACAACUGACGGUGAGGCGCGAAAGCGUGGGGAGCAAACAGG
RNAcentral lists this ribosomal RNA (253 nucleotides) under uncultured bacterium. RNAcentral's name for it is "partial 16S ribosomal RNA". It matches the Rfam family "Bacterial small subunit ribosomal RNA", at positions 524 to 776 of the family's 1533-position model. The record is from RNAcentral.